Molecule: unclassified non-coding RNA, 138 nt
Filed under: uncultured Ascomycota
Lineage: Eukaryota; Fungi; Ascomycota
Description: sequence contains ITS2
Source: RNAcentral
AAACUCUCAAGCCCAGCUUGGUAUUGGAACCUGUCCUCUGACAGUUCCGCAACUCCUUUGGCAGUAACGUCCAGCUUCAAGCGUAGCAAGUCAUUCGCUUAGUUGCCUUGACGUUCCUUCCACAAGAACCCUUCUCAA